RNAcentral lists this ribosomal RNA (443 nucleotides) under uncultured bacterium. RNAcentral's name for it is "bacterial SSU rRNA". It matches the Rfam family "Bacterial small subunit ribosomal RNA", at positions 8 to 453 of the family's 1533-position model. The record is from RNAcentral.
AGAGUUUGAUCCUGGCUCAGAUUGAACGCUGGCGGCAGGCUUAACACAUGCAAGUCGAGCGGAGAUGAGGUGCUUGCACCUUAUCUUAGCGGCGGACGGGUGAGUAAUGCUUAGGAAUCUGCCUAUUAGUGGGGGACAACAUUCCGAAAGGAAUGCUAAUACCGCAUACGUCCUACGGGAGAAAGCAGGGGAUCUUCGGACCUUGCGCUAAUAGAUGAGCCUAAGUCGGAUUAGCUAGUUGGUGGGGUAAAGGCCUACCAAGGCGACGAUCUGUAGCGGGUCUGAGAGGAUGAUCCGCCACACUGGGACUGAGACACGGCCCAGACUCCUACGGGAGGCAGCAGUGGGGAAUAUUGGACAAUGGGGGGAACCCUGAUCCAGCCAUGCCGCGUGUGUGAAGAAGGCCUUAUGGUUGUAAAGCACUUUAAGCGAGGAGGAGGCUA